Molecule: non-coding RNA, 103 nt
Filed under: Thermobaculum terrenum
Lineage: Bacteria; Bacillati; Chloroflexota; Chloroflexia; Thermobaculales (SeqCode); Thermobaculaceae (SeqCode)
Also listed under: 1 other name
Description: SAM-I sequence
Rfam family: SAM riboswitch aptamer (S box leader)
About the family: The SAM riboswitch is found upstream of a number of genes which code for proteins involved in methionine or cysteine biosynthesis in Gram-positive bacteria.
Source: RNAcentral
GCCUUAUCAAGAGAGGUGGAGGGAGACGGCCCUGUGAAGCCCGGCAACCAGCGCCCAGGAGCGCCAGGUGCCAAUUCCGGCGAGGUCACUCGCAAGAUAAGGG